Long non-coding RNA from Dermochelys coriacea (leatherback sea turtle), 6632 nucleotides. RefSeq lists it as uncharacterized. Lineage: Eukaryota; Metazoa; Chordata; Testudines; Dermochelyidae. The record is from RefSeq and is a predicted model, not a curated record. The transcript has 9 exons.
UUCACAGUGUCUAUAGGCAUGUGCAAGAUUUUGUCAUGGGAAAAUGUUCUCUUAUUCCUAUUCUGCUAAAACAAAUAUACCUCCUUAAACUUCACACCCGGUGAGCAGACACACUGAAGUCAAUGGACAUACCUCGUGUAUGUAAAGUUAAGCACUUAUAGGAACCCAGCAUGUAUCCUACUGAACUGAAACUGAGGUCCAUCUAGUCUAGAAUCCUGUCUCAGACAUUAACCAACACCAGAUGCUCCAAGGAAGAUGUUAGAACUCCUCACGAGGUAGAUAUGAGAUAAUCUGCCCCCCCACAUUAGAUCUCAUCGUGAUCUCUAAGAGUUAGAUUGGUUUUAGCUCUGAAUCAUGAUAUUUAAUAUCCCUUCCAAAAACCUUUAGCAUUUGUUAUUAGAAUUCUGGAUAUUCUUGAUAUCUAUAUAGAAGUCCAAUCCCCUUUUUUAUUCUUGCUAAAUUUCUUGGCUUCAGUAUGCUGUGGCAAUGAGUUCUAUAGUCUAAUUGUGUGGUGGUGUUGUUUUUAAAAUCAGCUUUGAAUUUGCCACUUUUUAAUAAGGUACGUAAGUCUUUGCAGGAUUGGGACUGUGGAUGGCUGACUUAGAGCUGCACAAAGGAAGCCAAUUGAAUCACACAGCAAAAAGAAAUCUUACUGUGCUAUAAACCACUGGAACUAUGCUAAAUAUUCUGGACUGCCAUCUAACUAUUUUUACAUAUAUACAGACAGCUCCAUUAACAGAGUCUUCUAUUUUAAAUGUAUUCCCACCAUGGGUUGCUGUUAUAGGGCCCAAUCCUGUUCCCAUUGAAGAAUGAGUCAUGUCUUUGACUUCAGGGACAGGAUAGACACAUGGGUAAGAAUAAUUAAAAAGAGAAAUACUCAGGGCUUGUCUACACUUACAGGGUGAUCGAUGCAUGAAGACCUGCUAAAUCGACCACAAAUCACUCUUCCAUCGACUCCUGUACUCCAUCUGAACAAGAAGCGCAAGGAGAGUCGAUAGGAGAGCAUCUCCCAUCGACAGAGUGUAGUGUGGAUCCCACGUGACUGGAACAGCUGGCCACCAGCAAUGCCAACAUACCACAGCUAUGCCGGGCAUAAUCCUGCAACCCUUACUCAUAUGUUACCAGAAGAAAUGCUGAUUAAAGGUGCCUUUUGUUCAGUACAUGAUUUGAAAGUUUGCUUUAAUUAGAAUGAAAUCCUGAUGAAUCAUGAGUUCUGCCUGCCUCUGAGAUGCAGAAUCCAGCUUUGGCAGCAAACAUCCAGGAAUAGAGUUCUGGCCUCCCUGAUCUUCUGGGCCAGCUGCAAGGAGAAGCCAGCAAUGAAGUCAUAGCUACUGGCCAAAGAGGAGAAGAGAGAGAGAUCAGCUCAAUUUGGAGCAGACAGUAUUCCAAACCUUGCUUUGUUCAUGUUUCAGAGGCAGACACCAAGGCAGAACCUCAGAAUGGGGGAGAAGCCAGGCAAACACUGCCUGCCAUUCUCUGGAGUGAGCUGACCCUUGCUGGCCAGGGUGAUACAGCACCAGUGGAGAAGCCUGAGUGGAGAGAGGGCACUGGGGCCAUCAGAACAGAGACAGGCAAGGCUAAUAAUUACCACAGAGGGAAGCGACCAUGGAAGCUAUAAAUCUGAAUUGUACUUAUGCCUGAGGAAGUAAAUAUAUCUAUUGGCCUUUGACUGCAGUCUGGAUAAUGUCAACCAGGAGGCAAGGCAUCUGGAAUUGCUUUGUUGCAAGAACAGUCUUUUGGUUAAAGAGAGUCAGGCCUAAAGCGUCCUCAAGACCCAUGUCACUAAUGGUGAUGAACGCAACCAGCAAUGGGGUGACUAGAGAAACUCACUGACAAACUGGGAAAGUAUCAAAGAGCACUAAGUGAAUGAGUCCCAGGACAGGAGAAAGCAGCACUCCUCAAGAUGCAAAAAGUUUUUAACUUAUGUAUUUUAAGUAAAUAAAGUGGCAGCACCAAAGAGACACCCAUCAAUAUAAUGUCUCACACACAGACCUCCAUGUACCCGUGCCUGUUUUCCAAUGCUGAGGGCCCAGUCCAACUCUCAAUAAACACGAAUAUAAAUUUGGAGUAACUCUCCUGACUUCAGUGGUGUCACUCUGGGUGAAAAUGGAAUUGAACCCAAGAAGCUACAUUCAACCCUUGGGGUGUAAGUUGGUGCAAGUUAUGGCAAGGUUUCAGUCUGGGCCUACCUGAGAUCAAGGAGAGUCUACUUCAUCAGAAGGGUUCAUUGGGAAAUGUUUGAGUUAGCCCAUGACCAUCGGUUUUACAAGUCAGCUCUAUCACAAGCAAAGACUGAGAUGAAAAUACAUCUGAGAUGGCUUGAUUCGCUCUUAAGUAGGAAAAAAAAUGGAAAAGCACCCAAAAAGGAUUCCCAGUCUGAACUAAAGGCCCUGGGACAGGGGACCCUUGAUGUUGAAAUAUGAACGAUGUGCAGAGUAAGAAAAGCUAUGCUGAUGUUCAUGGAAGACUCAACUUUCUGAAUACAAAUGAUCUUCUCUUCUUUCUGGAAGUAUACAACAGAUUACAGUGGGCAGGAUUGUGCCCUUACAUAUACCCUGUGCCCUUACAUAUGCCCACUGGCUUUAAUGGGGUUGCAUGGGGCAAAAGUAAAGGCAGAACUUUGGUUUCUUUAUCUUUACAGCUUGUCAUCUCUCCAUCAUCGCUGAUUAUACAUAGCACCAGCAUGGCCAUAGAAGGAAAGAGAGGCACAAUUAGAAAGAAAUCCUAGUUAUGUGCUCCCAAAUUACCUAUUAAAACCAGGUCAGGACGGUUUUCUUGUUUGUUCUCCACAUGGAAAAUAAGUAACGAGAGUGAAUCCAGUAAUCAGGAACUGUGUCCUGCAGCCCACUAUUGUUAGCUUACUGGUCUUAUUAUUCUUUUCUUUUGGAUAUAUGGCAAUGCUGUAGGACUGAAAUUCACCCCUGUGCAGAAGACCAGCCCCAGGCCUACACACUGCUUCAGGCCUCGGAGAUUAGGGCCUUAAUGGAGCACAGAGCUUAUACAGGAGUGAAUGUCAUCCUAACUCAGGGUUUCCUAAAGUGUGGGAAGGGCUGCCCCAUUGGGCAAGAAGUUACAAAGGUGCAGAAAAUGUGUAAAUGACAGUGCAUAGGCAGAUUUUAACAACACACAGUGGGUGGAGGUUGGGGGUGUGUGUCAUUUUCAUUUCCUGGAAAGGGUGCUCAGCUUCCAAAGUUUGGGAAAUGUCCAGAGCAAAGACUUUGGCUGUUUACGUGUGUGAGACAGGCAAACAGCAACCAUCACCUGAGACAUUUAGCACAAUUCUGGCUAGCUUGGCUGAGUAAGGGGACUUCCUCAUUUUAUAGUGCAUGGAAUCCACCUUGCACCUUGAUCUAAUUUACCUGUGCCAUGCUCAGAUACUAUAGUGGAGGGGGCUAGAGAAAAGCAAUAGACAAAUAAAGGGCCCUGCUCUUGAGUCUUUGCUAUGGUACUGGGCAUAAAUCACAAACAGAGUUCCGGGCUCAGUUAAACCACGUCAUUUGAAUUCAAUGGGGUUUAAAAUGGCAUGGUAUAUGGCUCAGAUUAUUCAGCCAACCAUUCUGCUACAUGAUUACCUCUAUUCAACUCUUGGGUCAGUAUAGAUAUUGUAAACCUGGUCUGUGGGACUGGGUGUUUCAAAGCCUGUGCUUAAGCAUCCACACUGCACUGUAAACCUGGGCUUACAACUGCUGGACCCGGGUCUCUCAGCCAUGCUAACACGUCCAUACUGCACUAUGCAGAUCUUCUGACCUGGCUCCGCAGCUUGAGCUGCAUCCCUACCAGGUGCUUAGUGACCCACAUCAGGCUGAUUUGUUUGGACAGAAGAGGGGCUGAAGCUCAAACCUGAGUGAGAGCCUGUGUGUGUGUGUGUGUGUGUGCGCGCGCAGAUUAGGCAUACCCCAAGUUAGCUGGCCCUAAAUUAGAGAAACCCAGCAACAAAAGAUCCUACAGCACUUUGAAAAUAUAUAUAUAUAGUUUGAUUGGAUAGGGUUGAUUGCACUAGUGAAAUGCAUGUGCCUCUGGGGUACAAAGUGACUGAUGAUUAGUAGACAAAAUGUGAAGAAUACACCGUCCAGUUGGAACCCCAGGGCAAAUUGCAAGUAUAAUUCUCCAAAUGGAAUUUGUCCAGCUGAGUACUCAGAGUAGAUAAGAUAUUGCCAUUCUGGAAGACCAACCCUAUCACAUUUGUUUUUCACAACACCAAGAUGAGUUAUUGGAGCACUGGAGGUUGCAAGCCCAGAAAGCCUGCUGAAUUUUGUUUGCCUUAGAUUGUUGAUUCAAACAGAUACAGGGGGAUACUGAAAUGUGAACUCUUUGUAAUUUUCCAUAAUCUUAUCUGAAGACAUCAAAGUGACCUAGAUAUUCAUCAGGUGGUUACACUAAAAGCCACAAAAAUAAUUUAACAGCAUUACUUUAUGAAGUUGCAGCCUUGGGGGAGCAAUGCGAGUUUCCUGGGUGUUGUGGGUGACCCCAUUUGUCAAGAAGGGGCAGCAAAGAAAACUGAGUGCUCCACUCACCCCUUUUGAAAAGCUAAAGAGAUGUCAUCAAUUUACCAUUCACCCUUCUGCCUAAACAUUUUUUACCCACUAUUGUUACAAGGAACAUCUAAGACUGCUACACUGAAAGAGAUUUGAGGAGAAAAAAGUAUUUUUCUCAAUCUUUUUCAGUUUUCUUCCUUUGUACACGAGACAGCAUUUCGCAUGUAGUCAAUUUCAUGGUUUCCCCUGUGUUGUUACUGUUUUUUUUUUGCUCUAGUUUGUGUGGGUUUUUUGCAGGGCUAAACAGUGAAACAUUUUAAAAAUAGGAAAAUGUGUUUGUAAAUCCACAAAAGUUGGCAGGGCGAGACGGGGUGGGGCUAGCAUCUGCACCUGUUUUUAGUUUGUUUCUUCAAAAUGAUUAGCUUUCAGCUUGAGAGUCUCUCUUUAAAAUAAUGGAAAUAUUCUAAAAAGGCAAAUUUUCUGUUAUAUGCAGUUUAAAGACUUCUUACUGAAAGUGAACUUAGAGAAAAAUCUCAUCCCAAGUUGCCUCUUCGAACCCCUACUUACUGGCUGGAAGUGCAUGGAAGGGUUGAUCAAGAUAUUAUUCUAGACCUUAAAAACUGCUGAUCUGGCCAAAAACUGAACAAAAAUGGUACAAUGGAAGCAGGACAUGCAAAUUCAGCUCACAGAGAACUUGAAGGGAAAAUUAUACAUGCUGGAAGCUACAGAUGAGUCCAUCCUAAAUAACAACAUGAGACAGACAUAUGUGGAGUUCCUAGGAGCUUUGCAUCUCUUUCACUAUAACACCGGCUGCACUCAAGUGUAGAGCUCCAACUCCUGCCAGGAGAUACCAUCUUUGUGCUGGUCCAUCUGCGCUUGUCCUUAGAUGGCCCUGAUUUGGAAUGUAGUUUGUGAGACUUUUAGGACCACUUUCAAAGUUCCUGAGACACACAACUUUGUCAUCGGGAUAUAAAACUGGAUCCACCAGUGUCCAGACCUGCUGGAAGAAAGUACUGCACUUUAAUUAGUCCUCACCAAAUAAUGUAUUUUGUGCAUAUGUCGUGGACUAGUAAACUUCCUUGAGUGACAGGUUUCCUUUCCAAUAUGUUACAUGACAAUUAUCAGGUGCUAUUUGCUUUUUGUCAUUCAUGUUUUUAUACAGUCCUGAAAAGCCAAGAAUGAGCUAUCUCUUUUUUAAAGCUACGAGCAGUUUUAAAGAUAUGUGCAGAUAAGAUUAUGGCAGAAGAGAGACAUGGCCACCCAGGUGUAAGCUAGCAUGAGUUAAAGCCAUCUGCCGUACAGAUGUGUGCUGCAGUUGUCGUACAAUGACCUACUGGAAGCUCAGAUUGUGAUUAUAUCACAUUUUGCUUAGCUACAAUUUAAAUGAGAACAAGAAUUAUAGCAAUGGUUCCAUUAAAAAUAGUUCAGACUUUUCAGGUGUCCCCAGACCUACAAAUGUGGUUUUAGUUUAUCUGAUUGUAAAAGACUUUACAUAUAGGCCGAUAAUUGAUCACACCACCUAUAAUAGUUUGUUUGGUUGGAGCAGCUGACUAGAUUGUGCUGUUACCUGUUGGACAUUUUGAAGCUUCAGCUCAGGCUGACAAAUCCUUGCAGGAAGAGCGGUGGUCAAUACCACUCUGAUCACACAAGCCCUUUGGGUAGUUUUCAUACAUUUUUCCUCCCCAGAAAAUAUAAGCUUCUCCAUGCACUUUAGCAAGACAAUGACCCACAAGCCUGGGGGUGGAAUAACGUCACUGCUGUAAGGCCCUAUGAAAUCUUAAAGCUUUUACCUAAUUAUUUAAUCAGGAAACACACGGGGGGGUGGGACUAAGAACAAACCCUAACGAUUCCUACUAUGUGAUUUCAUAGAUUAUAACACUGGAAAGGACCUCCUGCAUAACACAUGCUACAGGACUUGCCCAAAUUAAUUCCUGUUUGAGCUACAGCAUAUCUUUUAGAAAAUCAUCUGAUCUUGGUUUUAAAAUGUCGAGUGAUGGAAAAUCCACCACAGAUCUUGCUCACAGGAGUUGCUGGAAAAUCUGAUCUUGAUUGUUUCCACAAAAAGAAGAAAAAGGAAGAAAGGCAGUGAGAGAAAACUCCACUCACUAAACACUUAGGGAAAGUGUGAAGUAAAUAAACUACUUUCUUGUUAAGAAA